Molecule: non-coding RNA, 2662 nt
Organism: Pelobates cultripes (western spadefoot toad)
Lineage: Eukaryota; Metazoa; Chordata; Amphibia; Anura; Pelobatidae
Source: the annotation of a GenBank genome assembly
CUUUAGUUCCUUGUAUGUGUCAGAUAAGGCUUCCGGCUUCCACAUAUGGGUUGAAGAGCUUAUGACCUACUGUAACUGCCAAUGCUUAAAGCUGAUCAUAAUUUUAUGGACGAGAUCAUGUUCAUGUGCGUAUUGUAAUAUUUACAUUUGCUGGUACUUUCUACCUCAGCCAUGUUAAGCAGUACUGUAUUACAUCAUUUAUACUGAUAUUGACUUGAUCUUAUCUCUUUCAGGCACUAGCCCUAACAUUUACAGACUUUGUAACUGAACCCUUAGAGCACAUCUGGAAAGAAAUUGGCAAGGUCAUUAUUUCUUUUCUUUCAGAAAUCCCAGGCCAUUUGCAAAUUCCAGUCCUUAUUUGCAUGACAAUUAUUCUAUUGGUAAGUUUUAAUAAGUAUAUUAUAUGGAUAUGUGUGUACACAUAUAUUAUAUGGCCAAAAGUAUGUUGAUAUAGAUGUAUAUGCUUAGCUAGGACUCUGUGCAGGACCCACAUCGAACUUGUCAAACCAUGUCUUUAUGGACCUUGCUUUCUGCAUAGGGACACAACUACGCUGGAGCAAGAAGGUGCCUUCUACAUGCUGUUGCCACAAAGGCCUUGAUUUAAUAUUGUUAGGUACAUUUUCCAUAGUUUUUUUCUCCAAAUAAAUAUAUAUUAGAUCACUUGGAAAACGUAUCAACAAUAUUAAAUCAAGGUCAUAGUUGGAGCACCCAGUUGAAUUAAAUGUAUUUCUAUACCAAACAGCCUCAGACCAUUAUCACUCCUCCACUAAACUUUACAGUAGGCACUAUGCGUUCUGGUAGGAGGCAUUCUCCUGGCAUGUUCCACAACCAGAUUCUUCCAUCAGAUUGCCAGAAAGCAAGGUGUGACAUAUCACUCCAGAGAUGACUUUAACGGAUCGACGGACACCCCGACUGGGUACCUCCGUUGAAGGAUGCUCCUAGUGCUUCCUGAGGACUCCAAGCACUGCAGCAGACACCACAACCACUGAACCGGAGAAGCAUACGAAUGCUCUCAAGCAUAUGAAUGCUGUAAGCAGCUGAACAGGAAAAGCAUACAAUCAGCUUACACUCCUGGCAAUCAGCAUACAAUCCAAUUCCCCCAAUAAUGAGACGACACUUCGUUUUGAGGUCAAGCAGAACUGACUGUACUGGCACAUACAGCCUCUUUUAUUCACAAUCCACAAACAUAGUACUGCCCACAGGGUUUUGAAACACAACCAAACAAUCCGUACAAUACACAGAGACACUCCCACACAAAAUCCUCCCCUCUGCCUGUGAUAUGAUUACUGAACACAAUAGGUAAUAUAAUUAUCACAGGCAGAGAAAUACAGUUUUUACAAAAUAUUAGUAACUUCCAAAAUAUACAUGCCAUUCACAUAAAACAUACAUUUUCAGAAUCCGCAUGCUUGAAAUAUACACAUACUCAAAAAUCAGGGCAAUCGGUUCAGGGGUUAAAAAGUUAAGGGAAAGUCCUAUUUGACCAAAUGAAGCAUGGCUUUUCUGCCCAAAACCAGUUCCACAGAGUCUUCUAUCCUGGAGAUAAUUGGGAAGUAAUCCAAUUAUCUCCAAGGACAGAGGCAAAACUCCAUUAGCCACAUGCUUGCAAAAUACAAUAAAAUACAUAAAAAUAUAUAACUGUGCAGCUAUUGCAUAAAACAGGUACAUAUCCCCAGAUAGCUUAGAUCUGAGCGCAAUUUAUUACUGAAUGGCGUUCAGAUCACAUACAUACAGUUCAAUUGCCAUGGAGCCAAAGUCUUUCACAUAGUCUUUCGUUAUACGAAUGGGCUCCAUGGCAUAGCUAUCUGGGAUAACACUGCUCACAUAGGGAAAGUUCUGAAUGACCCGGCUUUCGGGUCUUUGCAGGGGAAAAUCCAGCAUUUCAACAUGGGGCCAUAGUCACAGGGCAGGAGGCUGGAAAUCAGUCUUCUCCAAUGCCCAGUGGCAAAGCUGGUUCCGCCACAAUGACCUUUCCACUGCUCUACUCCAGAUGAUGCUUGGCAUUGCGCCUCUUGCUGUGAGGCUUGUGUACAUCUGCUCAGUCAUGGAAAACCAUCUAAUAAAGCUCCCAAUGCACAGCUCUCGUGCUGAUGUUGCUUCCAGAGGCAGUAUGGGACUCUGUAGUGAGUGAUAUAACCGAUAAUAAGGAACUUAGGAGUAUUAAGAGUGUCCUUCAUUUAUAAAGUACUGGUUUCAGGGGAGACACUUUAUUAGUGACCUAAGAUGCAUCCUCAUGGCUGGAAGAUGAAUAAGAGGGAGCUCUUCCUUAUUUUUAAACUCUUGCUUAAAGUGAUCGACAAUGCUUCUCUAUGAGAAUCAUUCUAUUGGUACAGUGAAGCAGGACUCCACUGCUUUCACACGAUUUAAGGUUAAACCAUAAUCACCUACCAGUCUUUCUAAGAGUCAUUCCCCAUACUCAUUCUUUUAUCUUUGUUCUGAAGUUCAGCCAUGUUAACUGAGUAAACCUCGUUUCACAAUUGUUUGCCUGCUGUAAAAUAUGCUGUACUUAGAAUUUAGUAAUAUGUACUUUAACACUAUUGGUUCUGUAUAAAACACUUUCAUUGUGUAACCAUCUGUAUUAAAUUAUUAUUCAUUUUUCAGGGGUUUUUCAACAGAAUAAAUUAACAUGGUUCGUCCUGACCAAGGAAGGAGGCAUGCUGUGGAG